Molecule: ribosomal RNA, 253 nt
Filed under: uncultured bacterium
Lineage: Bacteria
Description: partial 16S ribosomal RNA
Rfam family: Bacterial small subunit ribosomal RNA
Source: RNAcentral
UACGGAGGGCGCAAGCGUUGUUCGGAAUCACUGGGCGUAAAGCGCGUGUAGGCGGCUUGGUAAGUCGGGUGUGAAAGCCCGGGGCCUAACCCCGGAACUGCACUCGAAACUGCCUCGCUCGAGUCCCGGAGAGGAUGGUGGAAUUCCCGGUGUAGUGGUGAAAUACGUAGAUAUCGGGAGGAACACCAGCGGCGAAGGCGGCCAUCUGGACGGUGACUGACGCUGAGACGCGAAAGCGUGGAGAGCAAACAGG